CGGGUGAGUAAUGUCUGGGAAACUGCCCGAUGGAGGGGGAUAACUACUGGAAACGGUAGCUAAUACCGCAUAACGUCGCAAGACCAAAGAGGGGGACCUUCGGGCCUCUUGCCAUCGGAUGUGCCCAGAUGGGAUUAGCUAGUAGGUGGGGUAAUGGCUCACCUAGGCGACGAUCCCUAGCUGGUCUGAGAGGAUGAUCAGCCACACUGGAACUGAGACACGGUCCAG
This 228-nucleotide ribosomal RNA is filed under the name uncultured bacterium. RNAcentral's name for it is "partial 16S ribosomal RNA". It matches the Rfam family "Bacterial small subunit ribosomal RNA", at positions 103 to 334 of the family's 1533-position model. The record is from RNAcentral.